This 470-nucleotide ribosomal RNA is filed under the name uncultured bacterium. RNAcentral's name for it is "bacterial SSU rRNA". It matches the Rfam family "Bacterial small subunit ribosomal RNA", at positions 28 to 508 of the family's 1533-position model. The record is from RNAcentral.
GACGAACGCUGGCGGCGUGCCUAACACAUGCAAGUCGAGCGGAGACAGUGAGUAGCUUGCUAUGAGCUGUUUUAGCGGCGGACGGGUGAGUAACGCGUGAGCAACCUUUCCCAGACAGGGGAAUAACACACCGAAAGGUGUACUAAUACCGCAUAAGACCACGGGAUCACAUGGUUCUGGGGUAAAAGAUUUAUCGGUUUGGGGUGGGCUCGCGUCCGAUUAGGUAGUUGGUGAGGUAACGGCCCACCAAGCCGACGAUCGGUAGCCGACCUGAGAGGGUGAUCGGCCCACAUUGGGACUGAGACACGGCCCAAACUCCUACGGGAGGCAGCAGUGGGGAAUAUUGCACAAUGGGGGGAAACCCUGAUGCAGCGACGCCGCGUGAAGGAAGAAGUAUUUCGGUAUGUAAACUUCUAUCAGCAAGGAAGAAAAUGACGGUACUUGACUAAGAAGCCCGGCUAAAUACGUAG